Molecule: ribosomal RNA, 997 nt
Filed under: Enterobacter hormaechei
Lineage: Bacteria; Pseudomonadati; Pseudomonadota; Gammaproteobacteria; Enterobacterales; Enterobacteriaceae
Description: bacterial LSU rRNA
Rfam family: Bacterial large subunit ribosomal RNA
Source: RNAcentral
CCGUAACUAUAACGGUCCUAAGGUAGCGAAAUUCCUUGUCGGGUAAGUUCCGACCUGCACGAAUGGCGUAAUGAUGGCCAGGCUGUCUCCACCCGAGACUCAGUGAAAUUGAACUCGCUGUGAAGAUGCAGUGUACCCGCGGCAAGACGGAAAGACCCCGUGAACCUUUACUAUAGCUUGACACUGAACACUGGUCCUUGAUGUGUAGGAUAGGUGGGAGGCUUUGAAGCGUGGACGCCAGUCUGCGUGGAGCCAACCUUGAAAUACCACCCUUUAAUGGCUGGUGUUCUAACGUAGACCCGUAAUCCGGGUUGCGGACAGUGUCUGGUGGGUAGUUUGACUGGGGCGGUCUCCUCCCAAAGAGUAACGGAGGAGCACGAAGGUUGGCUAAUCCUGGUCGGACAUCAGGAGGUUAGUGCAAUGGCAUAAGCCAGCUUGACUGCGAGCGUGACGGCGCGAGCAGGUGCGAAAGCAGGUCAUAGUGAUCCGGUGGUUCUGAAUGGAAGGGCCAUCGCUCAACGGAUAAAAGGUACUCCGGGGAUAACAGGCUGAUACCGCCCAAGAGUUCAUAUCGACGGCGGUGUUUGGCACCUCGAUGUCGGCUCAUCACAUCCUGGGGCUGAAGUAGGUCCCAAGGGUAUGGCUGUUCGCCAUUUAAAGUGGUACGCGAGCUGGGUUUAGAACGUCGUGAGACAGUUCGGUCCCUAUCUGCCGUGGGCGCUGGAGAAUUGAGGGGGGCUGCUCCUAGUACGAGAGGACCGGAGUGGACGCAUCACUGGUGUUCGGGUUGUCAUGCCAAUGGCACUGCCCGGUAGCUAAAUGCGGAAGAGAUAAGUGCUGAAAGCAUCUAAGCACGAAACUUGCCCCGAGAUGAGUUCUCCCUGAGACUUUAAGUCUCCUGAAGGAACGUUGAAGACGACGACGUUGAUAGGUCGGGUGUGUAAGCGCAGCGAUGCGUUGAGCUAACCGAUACUAAUGAACCGUGAGGCUUAACCUU